GACGAACGCUGGCGGCAUGCCUAAUACAUGCAAGUCGAGCGAACAGAUGAAGUGCUUGCACUUCUGACGUUAGCGGCGAACGGGUGAGUAACACGUAAGGAAUCUACCUAUAAGCGGGGGAUAACAUUAGGAAACGGGUGCUAAUACCGCAUAAUAUCUUCUUCCGCAGGGAAGAAGAUUGAAAGACGGCUCUGCUGUCACUUAUAGAUGACUUUGUGGUGCAUUAGUUAGUUGGUGGGGUAACGGCCUACCAAGACGCUGAUGCAUAGCCGGCCUGAGAGGGUGAUCGGCCACAUUGGGACUGAGACACGGCCCAAACUCCUACGGGAGGCAGCAGUAGGGAAUCUUCCGCAAUGGGCGAAAGCCUGACGGAGCAAUGCCGCGUGAGUGAGGAAGGCCUUCGGGUCGUAAAACUCUGUUAUAAGAGAAGAACAAAUUGUAGAGUAACUGCUACAGUCUUGACGGUAUCUUAUCAGAAAGCCACGGCUAACUACGUGCCAGCAGCCGCAGUAA
Molecule: ribosomal RNA, 513 nt
Filed under: uncultured bacterium
Lineage: Bacteria
Description: partial 16S ribosomal RNA
Rfam family: Bacterial small subunit ribosomal RNA
Source: RNAcentral